This is a microRNA precursor of Gallus gallus (chicken), 77 nucleotides long. Lineage: Eukaryota; Metazoa; Chordata; Aves; Galliformes; Phasianidae. The record is from Ensembl.
UUGCUAACCUCCUUUUUAGGUUUUAUGGUUUUGUUUUUAAAACAAAACCCAAAAACCCAGAGAGCAGUUGUUUCCAA